RNAcentral lists this ribosomal RNA (425 nucleotides) under uncultured bacterium. Its description in RNAcentral is "partial 16S ribosomal RNA". It matches the Rfam family "Bacterial small subunit ribosomal RNA", at positions 354 to 796 of the family's 1533-position model. The record is from RNAcentral.
GUAGGGAAUCUUGCGCAAUGGGCGAAAGCCUGACGCAGCCAUGCCGCGUGAAUGAUGAAGGUCUUAGGAUUGUAAAAUUCUUUCACCGGGGACGAUAAUGACGGUACCCGGAGAAGAAGCCCCGGCUAACUUCGUGCCAGCAGCCGCGGUAAUACGAAGGGGGCUAGCGUUGCUCGGAAUUACUGGGCGUAAAGGGAGCGUAGGCGGAUAGUUUAGUCAGAGGUGAAAGCCCAGGGCUCAACCUUGGAAUUGCCUUUGAUACUGGCUAUCUUGAGUAUGGAAGAGGUAUGUGGAACUCCGAGUGUAGAGGUGAGAUUCGUAGAUAUUCGGAAGAACACCAGUAGCGAAGGCGACAUACUGGUCCAUUACUGACGCUGAGGCUCGAAAGCGUGGGGAGCAAACAGGAUUAGAUACCCUAGUAGUCC